This is a long non-coding RNA of Homo sapiens (human), 860 nucleotides long. Lineage: Eukaryota; Metazoa; Chordata; Mammalia; Primates; Hominidae. The record is from Ensembl.
AGUUAACUUUGAGAUGAUGCCUCUAUCAUUUCAUUUACAUAUCAAAGAUUAAUGUUUCACUUGGGCCCUGGGUAUCUGAGGCACUAGAUGUUAUUUAAGACAUCAAUGGGUCAUUAUGAAAGCAGAGCUGAUAAAGAAAGGUAGAUGCCAUUGUAAUCUAGUGAUCUUUACAGCACAACAAGUUCCCCUGAAGUUGGAAAUCUAACCACGUUCCACAAGGAAAGCACAUGGCUUAGGGAAAUUGGAAGUCCGCUGGGUCCAGAAGGACUACAGUCAGAGGUAACCACAUUGGAACCUGUUUACAUGGUCACCAGCCUGCAAAUGAGUGUUAUCUAAAGAGAGAAGAUGCUUGAAGUAUCAGAACCAUCAAAAGCUGAAAAUAGCCCACAAUUCAUCACAGGAUUCAAGAAGAGGAACCUACAAAUAGCAAAGAACAGGAAUUCCUGUGAGCAUUCCUCUUCAAGAUGGAAGAAAAAGGGAAUAUUUCACAACCCCAAUGGUGAAACGUCUGCCUAUAGCCAACAAUACAAUCUUCUUGCUCUGUCACCCAGGCUGAAAUGCAGUGGCGCCAUCUCGUCUCACUCGGCUCACUACAACCUCCGCCUCCCGGGUUCAAGCAAUUCUUGUGCCUCAGUCACCCAAGUAGCUAGAAUUACAGUCAUGCGUCACCAUGCCCAGCUAAUUUUUUUAUUUUUAGUAGAGACAUGUUUCACCAUGUUGCCAAGGCUGGUCUGGAAUUCCUCGCCUCAAGUGAUCCGCCCACCUCAGCCUCCCAAAUUGUUGGGAUUACAGACGUGAGCCACUGUGCUCAGCCCACAAUUACUUUUAAAAUAAAUCAAGAGCCUUUUAUACUUGUGUAA